ACCUCAUAUAUAAGAUAUAUCUAUCUAUAUGUCCUCUAUAUAUUCUAUAUCUACAUCAUGUACACACACACACACGGACAUGCACAGACACAUGCAUAUAUAUUUUCUUGUCCAAUAUAGUACACAUAAAUAUAUGCAUAUAUGCCUAGAGGUAGACAAAUUGAUUAAUCAAUAUCAGAUAUACAUCUACCUAUCUAUAUCUAUUCACAGUUAUUAGGUACUUAUACAUACAGUUAGAGGUCUUUAUGACAGAGCUCUGACUUUGCACACUUGUGGAGCUGGUUGAGCAGUCUCUGUAAGGCUUUGGUGCUGUUUUUGAGUUUGAUGCCGAAGCCAGACAUCCACAAGGCAGGAGUUCACGAAAAGAAGAGGAACAUGACAUGGGAGGGAUCGGGGGCAGGAACCUGCAAGGACAGACUGAAACCCAUAUCAAAUCUUGGUGCCUCUGCCCCUCAUGAAAGCCAAUACAGAGACCCACAUGGCAGAGGCUUCUAGUAAUUUUGCCCUAAAUUUUAGUAACAGAAUCCCUAUAUGCACGUAAUAUUUCACAGCCUACCUUGCAAACAGAUGUGGCUGUCUGAUUAAGUUUUGGUCAACGGGUGAAAGCAAGUGUUACUUCCGGAUAGUAGCAUGAGAGGGUUAGGAGGGAUGGCCUCCUUCUGCUUUUUCUCUUUCUAUUCUGCUUUGCUGAAUGUGUAUGUGGAGGUUAGUGCUACAACAGCCCCUAUUAGCACAUGGGACACAGUGGAGUGAAGACCUGGAAGAAGUCCCGCUCCUUGAUGAGUUAAUGAGGCCACCAUAUCCUCCCUAUACUGCCUCCUCCAGACGUCAUUUCCAUGUCAGAGCCCGUAAUACUUGUGUGGACCUGCUUUGGAAUGAAUGUACCCAGAAGAGCUCUCAGCUGGUGACUGAUGCAAGCUGAUUCUGCAGAAAUGCUCCAUCCCCUGUGCCCUCAGGUAGGCUAAUUCUGGAGUAUCUUCCACUUGCCUUCCAGAAUUCCCAGGGAAGAUUCUCCUCUAGUUACCCAGAAGGAUAACUUGCUGAAUAACAAACACCCUCCUGGCCACCCUCUUUAGUGUCUCAGUUCCCACUCCCCCCUCCACUCUUCCCCAGGAACCCAUCCCAAAUAAACUACUUGUACUGGAAUUCUUGUCUCA
Molecule: long non-coding RNA, 1157 nt
Filed under: Piliocolobus tephrosceles (Ugandan red Colobus)
Lineage: Eukaryota; Metazoa; Chordata; Mammalia; Primates; Cercopithecidae
Description: lncRNA (ENSPTEG00000015888.1)
Source: RNAcentral